UACGAAGGGGCUAGCGUUGCUCGGAAUCACUGGGCGUAAAGGGUGCGUAGGCGGGUCUUUAAGUCAGGGGUGAAAUCCUGGAGCUCAACUCCAGAACUGCCUUUGAUACUGAAGAUCUUGAGUCCGGGGAGAGGUGAGUGGAACUGCGAGUGUAGAGGUGAAAUCGUAGAUAUUCGCAAGAACACCAGUGGCGAAGGCGGCUCACUGGCCCGUAU
RNAcentral lists this ribosomal RNA (215 nucleotides) under uncultured bacterium. Its description in RNAcentral is "partial 16S ribosomal RNA". It matches the Rfam family "Bacterial small subunit ribosomal RNA", at positions 524 to 739 of the family's 1533-position model. The record is from RNAcentral.